AAAAAAAAAAAAAAAAAAUUAAAAGUUUUACCAAUCAGGUCGCAUCUAGAAAAACGCGCCCAGAAACGCGCCUAAACCGCAAUGCUUCAUGGGUUUGUAGUUUUUAUAUAUUGACACUUCCGGAUACAGCGCUGCCGAAGUUUGAACAUAAACAGGAGUUUGAAGUGGGCGCGCACUGAUGCACUUGACUGCAUUUCACUAACGGUUGCAGACUUCUCACCUCAAAGCCAGCGAAGUUUGGUUCAAGAACAAAAGAUCUGAGUAAAGCCACGGUAUGGAAAAGACUUGGAUGUACAAUGAUAGGGGUAAUUCAUGAAGAAGGGCAUUAAGGCUAGUUGGUAAA
Molecule: non-coding RNA, 343 nt
Organism: Pimephales promelas (fathead minnow)
Lineage: Eukaryota; Metazoa; Chordata; Actinopteri; Cypriniformes; Leuciscidae
Source: RefSeq, a predicted model, not a curated record